Molecule: long non-coding RNA, 261 nt
Filed under: Mytilus galloprovincialis (Mediterranean mussel)
Lineage: Eukaryota; Metazoa; Mollusca; Bivalvia; Mytilida; Mytilidae
Source: RNAcentral
UUCGUGUUUCUUUUUCUGAUUAUGAUCAGCAUUGUCUGGUUGUAUGCUAGCGUGUUCCAUUGAUUCUCGUGCGGUAGGUCGUGGGUUCGAAGCCCGGUAGGUCAAACCAAUGACUUCAAAAUUUGUACAAUAAUGUGUCCAGGUAGGUUGACAUGUCUUCCAGCGGAAUGUUAACAGAUAACUUGUGAUCACUUGUGGCAUUAGAACGUCAAAAAUCCGGUUAAGUAACAAUGUUGGUCUAGUCUUCUCUGUACCUAUUCU